AGAACGAACGCUGGCGGCAUGCCUAACACAUGCAAGUCGAACGCUCUUGGGGCUUCGGUUCCAAGGGAGUGGCGCACGGGUGAGUAGCGCGUGGGAACCUGCCCUGUUGUGGGGGAUAACCGAGGGAAACUUCGGCUAAUACCGCAUACGCCCCGGGACUUGGUCUUCGGAUUAGGUCUGGGGGGAAAGAUUGAUCGCAGCAGGAGGGGCCCGCGUCGGAUUAGCUGGUUGGUGGGGUAACGGCUCACCAAGGCGAUGAUCCGUAGCUGGUCUGAGAGGAUGAUCAGCCACACUGGGACUGAGACACGGCCCAGACUCCUACGGGAGGCAGCAGUGGGGAAUAUUGGACAAUGGGGGCAACCCUGAUCCAGCAAUGCCGCGUGAGUGAUGAAGGCCUUAAGGGUUGUAAAGCUCUUUCGCCCGCGACGAUGAUGACGGUAGCGGGAGAAGAAGCCCCGGCUAACUUCGCGCCAGCAGCCGCGGU
Molecule: ribosomal RNA, 484 nt
Filed under: uncultured bacterium
Lineage: Bacteria
Description: SSU rRNA
Rfam family: Bacterial small subunit ribosomal RNA
Source: RNAcentral